Molecule: long non-coding RNA, 647 nt
Filed under: Macaca mulatta (Rhesus monkey)
Lineage: Eukaryota; Metazoa; Chordata; Mammalia; Primates; Cercopithecidae
Description: lncRNA (ENSMMUG00000041551.2)
Source: RNAcentral
CAGACUUUCAGUAUCUGCUAUUGUGGAGUGCCUGUCUUCCCUCUUCUCAUGCCCUAGUCCCCGUUGGCCUUGGCUGAAGGUGCAUUGUUUUGCCUCUAGGCCUGAAGAGGCCCCGCCUUACAUCUUCCAGGGGACACACAGCAAAGCCUGGAAAAUCAGUGUGGGAGAGAUCUUCCAAAGCUCAGGAGCUGAGGUGGUGACAAGAACUGGCAAAAAGAGAAUGCCACUAGAUGGAGAAUGAGGUGGAGGGAGAGCAUCAGGGUCAGUGGUGUGCAGGUAUGGACAAGGUUCUGACCCUUAUUAUUGGAACUCAAAUCCAGAUGGAGUUUGUUGGGUCUUCACAUCAUUGGAAGGUGAAUAGAAAAGUAUGUCUUCAGAAUUUCACCAUGUUUUGGAAGAAUUGCAGCAAUAAAGAAAGAAUUCCUUUGUUUCCACUCCAUUUCUUUUAAGGAAAACCUGGAAUAUCUGAGGGUGCAAGCUGAGAAAGGUCUGCUUAUCUAUUCCCUACUCUGGAGAUCAAAAACAAUCCAAGUCUACUGUUCUCUUCUCCUGGCACUCUUAACUUGUACACAUUGCAACAUUUUAUGUCAAAGUAAUGAUCAAGCUAUCCUAACAAGGACGAGCCCUUAUUAAAUAAUUCACUAUGG